Molecule: ribosomal RNA, 323 nt
Filed under: Pholcus tambunan
Lineage: Eukaryota; Metazoa; Arthropoda; Arachnida; Araneae; Pholcidae
Description: partial 12S ribosomal RNA
Source: RNAcentral
AGUUAUAUUAAACUAAGGUAUUACCACUUAAACCCUUAUAAGGUGGCGGUCUUUAUAAUUUAGAGAAACUCGCUUUAUAAUCGUAAAUACUCGAUAAAUUUAACUUAUAUUUAAUUAAUUUAUAUACCGCCGUUAAGAUUUAAUACUAAAAACAAUUCAAAAAUUCAUACAAACACAAAUCAGGUCAAGGUGUAGUUCAUAAUUAAGUAAAAGUAAGUUACAUUAAAAAUAAUUUUAGAAAAAAAAUACAAAUAUAAACUAGAAAAAGAAUUUAUCUGUACAAAUUAAUCAAAAACUAAAAUAGAAACAAAAAAUAAAGAUGC